Long non-coding RNA from Plodia interpunctella (Indianmeal moth), 434 nucleotides. RefSeq lists it as uncharacterized. Lineage: Eukaryota; Metazoa; Arthropoda; Insecta; Lepidoptera; Pyralidae. The transcript has 2 exons. The record is from RefSeq and is a predicted model, not a curated record.
UGCUGCUUACACGGAUAAUGUGUUGUGUAGCACACUGACUUUUUGUUUGAAGUGUGAUAUUUUCUGAUUAUUAUCCACUAUUUCUAUGAAGUAUAUUUUAUCGACCGCAUUCCAAUAGUCGUAGUCGUAGCAUUAUUUUACAAAAUUUCCAAAGCGACUGAUGUAAUUUCUUGUCAAAAUUCAACAAGAGUGACCUAACGCGAAGACCUACGAAAGACUAAAAAAAGUGGAAUCGCUCUCAUAAAUUUUUACAUGUUUUUGCAAGUGGAUUUUAUGGCCAAUGAAAUGAUUGUAUUUCCGGCGAUCGCCACGUGGGCAGGCGUUCUGAAUUUUAGAUUUGUGGCCGUGCUGUUCGCCGAUAACAGAAAAGCGAGCCGUUGCGAAUAAUCGUUGCAGACCGCUAUAUUUCAAUUGAAUAAAAUUUUGCUACGUGA